This 460-nucleotide ribosomal RNA is filed under the name uncultured bacterium. RNAcentral describes it as "partial 16S ribosomal RNA". It matches the Rfam family "Bacterial small subunit ribosomal RNA", at positions 338 to 795 of the family's 1533-position model. The record is from RNAcentral.
CCUACGGGUGGCAGCAGUGAGGAAUGUUGGUCAAUGGACGAGAGUCUGAACCAGCCAAGUAGCGUGAAGGAUGACUGCCCUAUGGGUUGUAAACUUCUUUUAUAUGGGAAUAAAACGUUCCACGUGUGGGAUUUUGUAUGUACCAUAUGAAUAAGGAUCGGCUAACUCCGUGCCAGCAGCCGCGGUAAUACGGAGGAUCCGAGCGUUAUCCGGAUUUAUUGGGUUUAAAGGGAGAGUAGGUGGAUUGUUAAGUCAGUUGUGAAAGUUUGGGGCUCAACCGGAAAAUUGCAGUUGAAACUGGCAGUCUUGAGUACAGGAGAGGUGGGCGGAAUUCGUGGUGUAGCGGUGAAAUGCUUAGAUAUCACGAAGAACUCCGAUUGCGAAGGCAGUUCACUGGACUGCAACUGACACUGAGGCUCGAAAGUGUGGGUAUCAAACAGGAUUAGAUACCCUGGUAGUC